CCUACGGGAGGCAGCAGUGGGGAAUAUUGGACAAUGGGCGAAAGCCUGAUCCAGCCAUGCCGCGUGUGUGAAGAAGGUCUUCGGAUUGUAAAGCACUUUAAGUUGGGAGGAAGGGCAGUAAGNUAAUACCUUGCUGUUUUGACGUUACCGACAGAAUAAGCACCG
Molecule: ribosomal RNA, 165 nt
Filed under: uncultured bacterium
Lineage: Bacteria
Description: partial 16S ribosomal RNA
Rfam family: Bacterial small subunit ribosomal RNA
Source: RNAcentral